GCGAACGCUGGCGGCAGGCUUAACACAUGCAAGUCGAGCGGGCCCUUCGGGGUCAGCGGCAGACGGGUGAGUAACGCAUGGGAACGUGCCCUUCGGUUCGGAAUAACUCAGGGAAACUUGAGCUAAUACCGGAUACGCCCUUAUGGGGAAUGGUUUACUGCCGAAGGAUCGGCCCGCGUCUGAUUAGCUAGUUGGUGAGGUUAUGGCUCACCAAGGCGACGAUCAGUAGCUGGUCUGAGAGGAUGAUCAGCCACACUGGGACUGAGACACGGCCCAGACUCCUACGGGAGGCAGCAGUGGGGAAUAUUGGACAAUGGGGGCAACCCUGAUCCAGCCAUGCCGCGUGAGUGAUGACGGCCUUAGGGUUGUAAAGCUCUUUUCUCCGGGACGAUAAUGACGGUACCGGAGGAAUAAGCCCCGGCUAACUUCGUG
RNAcentral lists this ribosomal RNA (432 nucleotides) under uncultured bacterium. RNAcentral's name for it is "partial 16S ribosomal RNA". It matches the Rfam family "Bacterial small subunit ribosomal RNA", at positions 29 to 507 of the family's 1533-position model. The record is from RNAcentral.